AUGGAGAUCCUCCAACAAGGCACUAUGUUGAUGUUCCCGGGGAUGGAUCUUACGAAAAUGGAUCCUCCAACUCUUACCCUCCUUGGAGCAGCUUGUUGUGUAAUGUUGUCUAUGCAUUUCACAGUACAGCUGGUAUCACAGCAUCUUUUCUAUUGGAAAAAUCCCAAAGAGCAGAAGGCUAUACUCAUUAUAGUGCUGAUGCCUCCGUUAUAUGCUAUAACUUCCUUUGCUGGUCUUCUGGAUAUUAAGGGAAGCAAAACGUUUUUUACAUGUUUGGAGUCUGUUAAAGAAUGCUAUGAAGCACUGGUUAUUGCUAAGCUUCUGGCAUUGAUGUACAGCUACUUAAAUAUAUCUAUCAGUAAAAACAUUGUACCUGAUGAAAUCAAAGGGAGGGUGCUUCAUCAUUCUUUCCCUGUUUCUCUUUUCCUGCCCCGUAAUGUUCGGUUGGAGCACAAGACACUUAAGCUUCUGAAGUACUGGACCUGGCAAUUUGUUGUUGUUAGGCCUGUAUGCUCCAUUCUGAUCAUUGCACUUCAGCUUCUUGGGUUGUACCCCAGCUGGGUCAGCUGGACCUUCACAAUUAUACUUAACUUUUCAGUCUCCAUGGCAUUAUAUGCCUUGGUCAUAUUCUAUCACUUGUUUGCUAAGGAGCUGGCACCUCACAAGCCUCUUGCUAAGUUCUUGUGCAUCAAAGGGAUAGUCUUCUUCUCUUUCUGGCAGGGCUGUGCGUUGGAUGUUUUGGCUGGUGUAGGGGUUAUUCAAUCUCACCAUUUCUGGCUGGACGUGGAGCACAUCCAGGAGGCAAUCCAGAAUGUCUUGAUUAUCCUGGAAAUGGUCAUUUUCUCAGUUCUCCAGCAGUACGCGUAUCACGUUGCUCCGUACAGUGGCGCUGACAAGGUAAAAUUCGAGAAGAAGAAUGAAUGA
This 924-nucleotide ribosomal RNA is filed under the name Triticum aestivum (bread wheat). RNAcentral's name for it is "partial small subunit ribosomal RNA". The record is from RNAcentral. Lineage: Eukaryota; Viridiplantae; Streptophyta; Magnoliopsida; Poales; Poaceae.